This 73-nucleotide small nuclear RNA is filed under the name Nothoprocta perdicaria. The record is from RNAcentral. Lineage: Eukaryota; Metazoa; Chordata; Aves; Tinamiformes; Tinamidae.
CAGUCAUUUUUGGCAGCUCAUAUACUAAAAUUGAAAUGAUGCAGAGAAAUUUAGUAUGGUCCCUGAGCAAGGA